GGGUUGUGAGGUUAAGCGACUAAGCGUACACGGUGGAUGCCCUGGCAGUCAGAGGCGAUGAAGGACGUGCUAAUCUGCGAAAAGCGUCGGUAAGGUGAUAUGAACCGUUACAGCCGGCGAUGUCCGAAUGGGGAAACCCAGUGCAAUUCGUUGCACUAUCGUUAACUGAAUACAUAGGUUAACGAGGCGAACCGGGGGAACUGAAACAUCUAAGUACCCCGAGGAAAAGAAAUCAACCGAGAUUCCCCCAGUAGCGGCGAGCGAACGGGGAGCAGCCCAGAGUCUGAAUCAGCUUGUGUGUUAGUGGAACGGUCUGGAAAGUCCGACGGUACAGGGUGAUAGUCCCGUACACCAAAAUGCACAGGCUGUGAACUCGAAGAGUAGGGCGGGACACGUGGUAUCCUGUCUGAAUAUGGGGGGACCAUCCUCCAAGGCUAAAUACUCCUGACUGACCGAUAGUGAACCAGUACCGUGAGGGAAAGGCGAAAAGAACCCCGGCGAGGGGAGUGAAAAAGAACCUGAAACCGUGUACGUACAAGCAGUGGGAGCACCUUCGGGUGUGACUGCGUACCUUUUGUAUAAUGGGUCAGCGACUUAUAUUCUGUAGCAAGGUUAACCGUAUAGGGGAGCCGCAGGGAAACCGAGUCUUAACUGGGCGUUAAGUUGCAGGGUAUAGACCCGAAACCCGGUGAUCUAGCCAUGGGCAGGUUGAAGGUUGGGUAACACUAACUGGAGGACCGAACCGACUAAUGUUGAAAAAUUAGCGGAUGACUUGUGGCUGGGGGUGAAAGGCCAAUCAAACCGGGAGAUAGCUGGUUCUCCCCGAAAGCUAUUUAGGUAGCGCCUCGUGAACUCAUCUUCGGGGGUAGAGCACUGUUUCGGCUAGGGGGUCAUCCCGACUUACCAACCCGAUGCAAACUACGAAUACCGAAGAAUGUUAUCACGGGAGACACACGGCGGGUGCUAACGUCCGUCGUGAAGAGGGAAACAACCCAGACCGCCAGCUAAGGUCCCAAAGUCAUGGUUAAGUGGGAAACGAUGUGGGAAGGCACAGACAGCCAGGAUGUUGGCUUAGAAGCAGCCAUCAUUUAAAGAAAGCGUAAUAGCUCACUGGUCGAGUCGGCCUGCGCGGAAGAUGUAACGGGGCUAAACCAUGCACCGAAGCUGCGGCAGCGACACUAUGUGUUGUUGGGUAGGGGAGCGUUCUGUAAGCCUGCGAAGGUGACCUGUGAGGGUUGCUGGAGGUAUCAGAAGUGCGAAUGCUGACAUAAGUAACGAUAAAGCGGGUGAAAAGCCCGCUCGCCGGAAGACCAAGGGUUCCUGUCCAACGUUAAUCGGGGCAGGGUGAGUCGACCCCUAAGGCGAGGCCGAAAGGCGUAGUCGAUGGGAAACAGGUUAAUAUUCCUGUACUUGGUGUUACUGCGAAGGGGGGACGGAGAAGGCUAUGUUAGCCGGGCGACGGUUGUCCCGGUUUAAGCAUGUAGGCUGGUUGUCCAGGCAAAUCCGGAUAAUCAAGGCUGAGGUGUGAUGACGAGGCACUACGGUGCUGAAGUAACAAAUGCCCUGCUUCCAGGAAAAGCCUCUAAGCAUCAGGUAACAUUAAAUCGUACCCCAAACCGACACAGGUGGUCAGGUAGAGAAUACCAAGGCGCUUGAGAGAACUCGGGUGAAGGAACUAGGCAAAAUGGUGCCGUAACUUCGGGAGAAGGCACGCUGGUGUGUAGGUGAAGUCCCUGCGGAUGGAGCUGAGACCAGUCGAAGAUACCAGCUGGCUGCAACUGUUUAUUAAAAACACAGCACUGUGCAAACACGAAAGUGGACGUAUACGGUGUGACGCCUGCCCGGUGCCGGAAGGUUAAUUGAUGGGGUUAUCCGUAAGGAGAAGCUCUUGAUCGAAGCCCCGGUAAACGGCGGCCGUAACUAUAACGGUCCUAAGGUAGCGAAAUUCCUUGUCGGGUAAGUUCCGACCUGCACGAAUGGCGUAAUGAUGGCCAGGCUGUCUCCACCCGAGACUCAGUGAAAUUGAACUCGCUGUGAAGAUGCAGUGUACCCGCGGCAAGACGGAAAGACCCCGUGAACCUUUACUAUAGCUUGACACUGAACAUUGAGCCUUGAUGUGUAGGAUAGGUGGGAGGCUUUGAAGCGUGGACGCCAGUCUGCGUGGAGCCAACCUUGAAAUACCACCCUUUAAUGUUUGAUGUUCUAACGUUGGCCCCUUACCGGGGUUGCGGACAGUGUCUGGUGGGUAGUUUGACUGGGGCGGUCUCCUCCCAAAGCGUAACGGAGGAGCACGAAGGUUAGCUAAUCCUGGUCGGACAUCAGGAGGUUAGUGCAAUGGCAUAAGCUAGCUUGACUGCGAGCGUGACGGCGCGAGCAGGUGCGAAAGCAGGUCAUAGUGAUCCGGUGGUUCUGAAUGGAAGGGCCAUCGCUCAACGGAUAAAAGGUACUCCGGGGAUAACAGGCUGAUACCGCCCAAGAGUUCAUAUCGACGGCGGUGUUUGGCACCUCGAUGUCGGCUCAUCACAUCCUGGGGCUGAAGUAGGUCCCAAGGGUAUGGCUGUUCGCCAUUUAAAGUGGUACGCGAGCUGGGUUUAGAACGUCGUGAGACAGUUCGGUCCCUAUCUGCCGUGGGCGCUGGAGAAUUGAGGGGGGCUGCUCCUAGUACGAGAGGACCGGAGUGGACGCAUCACUGGUGUUCGGGUUGUCAUGCCAAUGGCACUGCCCGGUAGCUAAAUGCGGAAGAGAUAAGUGCUGAAAGCAUCUAAGCACGAAACUUGCCCCGAGAUGAGUUCUCCCUGAGACUUUAAGUCUCCUGAAGGAACGUUAAAGACGAUGACGUUGAUAGGCCGGGUGUGUAAGCGCAGCGAUGCGUUGAGCUAACCGGUACUAAUGAACCGUGAGGCUUAACCUUACAACGCCGAAG
RNAcentral lists this ribosomal RNA (2923 nucleotides) under Klebsiella pneumoniae. RNAcentral's name for it is "bacterial LSU rRNA". It matches the Rfam family "Bacterial large subunit ribosomal RNA". Lineage: Bacteria; Pseudomonadati; Pseudomonadota; Gammaproteobacteria; Enterobacterales; Enterobacteriaceae. The record is from RNAcentral.